RNAcentral lists this transfer RNA (69 nucleotides) under Marmota monax (woodchuck). RNAcentral's name for it is "tRNA.Ala". The record is from RNAcentral. Lineage: Eukaryota; Metazoa; Chordata; Mammalia; Rodentia; Sciuridae.
GGCUGUAGCUCAGUGGAAAAGUGCUUGCCUUGCAUGUGUGAGGAACUGGGUUCAAUCCUCAGCAACACA